AAAAAGUAGCACAUUCGGUAUUGAAUCACGAUCUAUACCUCUAUUCCUCUCUGUAUAUAGCACUCUACUACUUGUAGUUUUCAAGCAAAAACAUUCUUCAAUGGCUUCUCUUCCUCUACCCAAAGUUUGUUUCUUUCUUUUACUCAUAACCUUAUCUUUCUACACUUCUCCUUGGAUUGGAUUUGAUCGAAACACAUUGGUCUCUGCGUGCUGUGGAGGUGGCGGAAAAUACAAUGCUAAUUUAACAGCUUGGGAAAUUCGAGUGUACUAUCUAGUUAUUGAGUUUUAAGAUUUUUCUUUGUUUGUUACUUUACUUAGAUGUUUUUUUUUUCAUUGGUAUUUGGGUGUUUUGACUAUGAUGAGAUGUGUGUUUUCUUCUCUUCGUCAAUUGGUGGAAAAGAAAAUAAAUACGGUUGUUGCAAAUAAUGGUUAAACUCUAUCCACUAUAAGGUUAAAGUCAUAGAACUAAUCUUUAUCACAAUAAAACAGUUGAACUUAAUCCACUUUUAACAGUAAAUCACAAAUAUUAGUUGGCAAAACCACUUAUCAAAUAUGAGUUGCAUCUGCUGUUCAAAAUGUUCACAAUAGUUUAUUAAGGUUGACUGGUGUGUUUUAUUCCCUAGUGGACGGAGGAGCAUAACAACAACAACAUCCCGGGUCUGAGGAGGGUAGUGUGUACUACUCUAGAAUAG
This 692-nucleotide long non-coding RNA is filed under the name Nicotiana tabacum (common tobacco). Its description in RNAcentral is "long non-coding RNA (NTAB_LNC004342)". Lineage: Eukaryota; Viridiplantae; Streptophyta; Magnoliopsida; Solanales; Solanaceae. The record is from RNAcentral.